Telopea speciosissima is the source of this 148-nucleotide long non-coding RNA. RefSeq lists it as uncharacterized. NCBI's taxonomy places the organism in Eukaryota, Viridiplantae, Streptophyta, Magnoliopsida, Proteales, Proteaceae. The transcript has 3 exons. The record is from RefSeq and is a predicted model, not a curated record.
GUGGUGAGGGAGAAAUAUGGUGGGGAUUUGGUUAGGCCGGGCAUUACUCAAUUUGCCACCAACUACAUUACCCUAAAGAGCUUUGAGGCAAAGAAGGUAGGACUCAGAUCUAUGUUUGCUUUAGAGUAGUAGUAUAGUUGGAGGGAGU